GGGUAUAGCUUAGUGGUAGAGUGCGUGUUUAGCAUGCACAAGGUCCAGGGUUCAAUCCCUGGUACCGCCA
Molecule: transfer RNA, 70 nt
Filed under: Camelus dromedarius (Arabian camel)
Lineage: Eukaryota; Metazoa; Chordata; Mammalia; Artiodactyla; Camelidae
Also listed under: 1 other name
Rfam family: tRNA
About the family: Transfer RNA (tRNA) molecules are approximately 80 nucleotides in length. Their secondary structure includes four short double-helical elements and three loops (D, anti-codon, and T loops). Further hydrogen bonds mediate the characteristic L-shaped molecular structure. tRNAs have two regions of fundamental functional importance: the anti-codon, which is responsible for specific mRNA codon recognition, and the 3' end, to which the tRNAs corresponding amino acid is attached (by aminoacyl-tRNA synthetases). tRNAs cope with the degeneracy of the genetic code in two manners: having more than one tRNA (with a specific anti-codon) for a particular amino acid; and 'wobble' base-pairing, i.e. permitting non-standard base-pairing at the 3rd anti-codon position.
Source: Rfam by way of RNAcentral